Molecule: unclassified non-coding RNA, 351 nt
Filed under: soil metagenome
Description: partial contains 5.8S ribosomal RNA, internal transcribed spacer 2, and large subunit ribosomal RNA
Rfam family: 5.8S ribosomal RNA (bases 1-120)
Source: RNAcentral
GAUGAAGAACGCAGCGAAAUGCGAUAAGUAAUGUGAAUUGCAGAAUUCAGUGAAUCAUCGAAUCUUUGAACGCACAUUGCGCCCGCCAGUAUUCUGGCGGGCAUGCCUGUCCGAGCGUCAUUUCAACCCUCGAACCCCUCCGGGGGUCGGCGUUGGGGAUCGGCCCUUUCACCGGGUGCCGGCCCCUAAAUACAGUGGCGGUCUCGCCGCAGCCUCUCAUGCGCAGUAGUUUGCACACUCGCACCGGGAGCGCGGCGCGUCCACGUCCGUAAAACACCCCAACUUCUGAAAUGUUGACCUCGGAUCAGGUAGGAAUACCCGCUGAACUUAAGCAUAUCAAUAAGCGGAGGA